UGCCAGCCGCCGCGGUAAUACGGAGGGUGCAAGCGUUGUUCGGAAUUAUUGGGCGUAAAGCGCGUGUAGGCGGUUCGUUAAGUCUGAUGUGAAAGCCCGGGGCUCAACCCCGGAAGUGCAUUGGAAACUGGCGAACUUGAGUACGGGAGAGGAAAGUGGAAUUCCGAGUGUAGGGGUGAAAUCCGUAGAUAUUCGGAGGAACACCAGUGGCGAAGGCGGUACUCUGGCAUUGGCCUGACGCUCAUGUGCGAAAGCGUGGGGAGCGAACGGGAUUAGAUA
This 279-nucleotide ribosomal RNA is filed under the name uncultured bacterium. RNAcentral describes it as "partial 16S ribosomal RNA". It matches the Rfam family "Bacterial small subunit ribosomal RNA", at positions 506 to 784 of the family's 1533-position model. The record is from RNAcentral.